Molecule: ribosomal RNA, 572 nt
Filed under: uncultured bacterium
Lineage: Bacteria
Description: bacterial SSU rRNA
Rfam family: Bacterial small subunit ribosomal RNA
Source: RNAcentral
GGAUAAUCUACCCUUUGGAUUGGAAUAACCUGUCGAAAGACGGGCUAAUGCCAAGUAAGCUUACGAGUACGUGAAGUUCUUGUAAGGAAAGAUGGCGCAAGCAAUCGCCGAAGGAUGAGUCUGCGUCCCAUUAGUUAGUUGGUGGGGUAAUGGCUUACCAAGACUAUGAUGGGUACCUGGUCUGAGAGGAUGACCAGGCACACUGGAACUGAAACACGGUCCAGACUCCUACGGGAGGCAGCAGUAGGGAAUAUUGCGCAAUGGACGAAAGUCUGACGCAGCCACGCCGCGUGGGUGAGGAAGGCCUUCGGGUUGUAAAGCUCUGUCAUUCGGGAAAAAUAGCCAUCCGGGGAAAGUUCGGGUGGUCUGAUGGUACCGAAGGAGGAAGCACCGGCAAACUCUGUGCCAGCAGCCGCGGUAAUACAGAGGGUGCAAGCGUUGUUCGGAAUUACUGGGCGUAAAGCGUGCGUAGUCGGUAUUGAGAGUCACGGGUGAAAUCCCCACGCUUAACGUGGGAACUGCCUGUGAGACCUCAGUACUAGAGUGUGAGAGGGGAUAGUGGAAUACCAAGU